GAUGAACGCUGGCGGCGUGCCUAAUACAUGCAAGUCGAGCGAACAGACGAGGAGCUUGCUCCUCUGACGUUAGCGGCGGACGUGUGAGUAACACGUGGAGAACCUACCUAUAAGACUGGGAUAACUUCGGGAAACCGGAGCUAAUACCGGAUAAUAUAUUGAACCGCAGGGUUCAAUAGUGAAAGACGGUUUUGCUGUCACUUAUAGAUGGAUCCGCGCCGCAUUAGCUAGGUGGUAAGGUAACGGCUUACGAAGGCAGCGAUGCGUAGCCGACCCGAGAGGGUGAUCCGCCACAGUGGAACUGAGACACGGCACAGAGUCCUACGGGAGGCAGAAGCAGCGACGGUUGCGAAAUGGGCGAAAGAUUGAAGGAGCAACGGCGGGCGAGUGCUGCAGGUCUUCGGAUCGUAAAACGGUGUUAUUAGUGAAGAACAAAUGUGGAAGUAACUAUGCACGUCUUGACGGUACCUACUCAGAAAGCAACGGCUAACUACGUG
Molecule: ribosomal RNA, 497 nt
Filed under: uncultured bacterium
Lineage: Bacteria
Description: partial 16S ribosomal RNA
Rfam family: Bacterial small subunit ribosomal RNA
Source: RNAcentral